GAUGAAGAACGUAGCGAAAUGCGAUACGUAAUGUGAAUUGCAGAUUUCAGUGAAUCAUCGAAUCUUUGAACGCACAUUGCGCCCGCCAGCAUUCUGGCGGGCAUGCCUGUUCGAGCGUCAUUUCAACCCUCGAGCCCCCCCGGGGGCCUCGGUGUUGGGGGACGGCACACCAGCCGCCCCCGAAAUGCAGUGGCGACCCCGCCGCAGCCUCCCCUGCGUAGUAGCACACACCUCGCACCGGGGCGCGGAGGCGGUCACGCCGUAAAACGCCCAACUUUCUUAGAGUUGACCUCGGAUCAGGUAGGAAUACCCGCUGAACUUAAGCAUAUCAAUAAGCGGAGGA
Molecule: unclassified non-coding RNA, 343 nt
Filed under: soil metagenome
Description: partial contains 5.8S ribosomal RNA, internal transcribed spacer 2, and large subunit ribosomal RNA
Rfam family: 5.8S ribosomal RNA (bases 1-120)
Source: RNAcentral